Long non-coding RNA from Setaria italica (foxtail millet), 463 nucleotides. RefSeq lists it as uncharacterized. Lineage: Eukaryota; Viridiplantae; Streptophyta; Magnoliopsida; Poales; Poaceae. The transcript has 3 exons. The record is from RefSeq and is a predicted model, not a curated record.
CAGUGUCAUUUCUAGAGACAAAUCCAAGUAAUUUAUGAUCAGGUUUUGAGGAGGUAGACUAGCAGCGGAUAGUUUAUGGCUCCGACGAAGGCAUAAAGCGAUGUGGUAUCCGAGGAAAAAGAGAACCAAGACCUUCAGAGAGCUCACUGGAGACCAAUUGCAGGUACAAUUUAUUUUCCAAAAAUUUGGGGGGAUUCAGCUGAACCCCCCACGUAGGAUUGUGCAAAGAAGGGGGAUAACUCUGUCAGAUUUUCACUGAACAUUUCAGAACUCUUGUAUGAUUCGGUUUCAUGAUAGUUUUGGACUCAGAUUAGAUACCCCCUCCCUGUUUAGGAGGUUCAUAAACAAACUCGAGUUCCGAGCCUUUAUACCUUCGUAAACAAACUCGAGUUCCGAGCCUUUAAAACUCGAUCAUCGAGUCUUUCGGGAGAACAAACAUCGUUCUUACUUCUGAAGCACCUAG